GAUACUGUUGAUGGAAUUUAGGCAGGAGUAGGAAUUUAAAGAGCUGGGUGAUGAUGAUACAAUGGAGGGGUUUUACCAAGUUGCAAGAGGCCUAAAAAUAAAUAAAUAAAAUUGCAAGAGGCCUAAAAAUAAAUAAAUAAAAUUGCAAGAGGCCUCCGGUGGUGGCUUAUCUGGAGAAAUUCAAAGAGUUGAAGGCUGCUGUAAUAUCAAGGUUCCAGCAUUAUCAGAAUCUUAUUACAUCAAAAGCUUCUUGUGUGGGUUGGAGGAGGAAAUUAAACACACAGUCAAGAUGCAUAAACCAGCUAUCGUCCAAGCAACUUUUGAGAUGACUUGGUGGCAAGCACACAACUUGGAAUUUAUUGAAAACCAAUGCAAGGUGUUCUUCAAGAAUGCUUAGCCCUGAUCACAGACAGGGCUGCAAACAAGUCAAGUCAAGCUUGAGUAGUGAACUACUCGAAUCAAAAUACUUUAGCUCGAGCUUUAUCAGAUCUAGCUCAAUCAAGCUUAAUACAGCUCAAUUGAGCUUGAGAGAUAUAAAUUAGUAUUUCAUAUAAUUUCAACAUUUCACACUAAGGAAUAUUAAAAAUACUAUUAAGCUCAACAAAUUUUCAAGCCUCACAUGAUAGGCUUUAAAUCAAGCUUGUCAAGCUAUUCAAGCUGCACGAGCUUCGACCGAGCAAGCUUGCUAGUAGCUUGAUUCAGGCCAGCAUCUUUGCACCCCUAACCUCAGAUAGCAGCUGAGGGAUCAAGGCUGGUCAAUCCUCCAC
Molecule: long non-coding RNA, 767 nt
Filed under: Coffea arabica (coffee)
Lineage: Eukaryota; Viridiplantae; Streptophyta; Magnoliopsida; Gentianales; Rubiaceae
Description: long non-coding RNA (CARA_LNC006149)
Source: RNAcentral